RNAcentral lists this ribosomal RNA (163 nucleotides) under uncultured bacterium. Its description in RNAcentral is "partial 16S rRNA". It matches the Rfam family "Bacterial small subunit ribosomal RNA", at positions 355 to 511 of the family's 1533-position model. The record is from RNAcentral.
UAGGGAAUCUUCCACAAUGGCGAAAGCCUGAUGGAGCAACGCCGCGUGUGUGAUGAAGGGUUUCGGCUCGUAAAACACUGUUGUAAGAGAAGAAUGACAUUGAGAGUAACUGUUCAAUGUGUGACGGUAUCUUACCAGAAAGGAACGGCUAAAUACGCGCCAG